Non-coding RNA from Acanthosepion pharaonis, 113 nucleotides. NCBI's taxonomy places the organism in Eukaryota, Metazoa, Mollusca, Cephalopoda, Sepiida, Sepiidae. The record is from the annotation of a GenBank genome assembly.
UACAGCCAUAUUAUGUUGAAAUACCGGUCCUUGUACGAUCACUGAAGUUAAGCAAUGUCAAGCCGGGUCAGUACCUAGAUGGGGGACCGUUUGGGAGCACCAGGUGCUGUAAG